This 336-nucleotide long non-coding RNA is filed under the name Brassica napus (rape). RNAcentral's name for it is "long non-coding RNA (BNAP_LNC015060)". The record is from RNAcentral. Lineage: Eukaryota; Viridiplantae; Streptophyta; Magnoliopsida; Brassicales; Brassicaceae.
AUUUGAACGUUGUAAGAAAUUCUUUCCAACUUCAUAACUAACCAUAUAGCAAGAGCACAAAACAUUUUGGCAUACAAGCUUGAACGUGGUGCUCAAUGUCUUCUUUCAGUUGUGUCAUUUAUUACCUCCGAUUCAGCUAGCCAAAUUGAAUUAUGUUUUUUUCUAUUAUGUCAGUUUCAUAUUGACAAAAAAAAUCUAUAGGCUAUGUUAUAAAAAUACAAAAUCUAAUAACACUGAAUUUCCUUAAAUAUUUAAAUUAUUAAUUAAUACCAUCUCAUUUUGUUUGAAUUUAAAUUCUAAGUUGAUUAGUUGACAAAUAUUUUCUAACUACUGUAU